RNAcentral lists this ribosomal RNA (253 nucleotides) under uncultured bacterium. Its description in RNAcentral is "partial 16S ribosomal RNA". It matches the Rfam family "Bacterial small subunit ribosomal RNA", at positions 524 to 776 of the family's 1533-position model. The record is from RNAcentral.
UACAGAGGGGGCGAGCGUUGUUCGGAAUUACUGGGCGUAAAGGGCGCGUAGGCGGCCAACUAAGUCAGACGUGAAAUCCCUCGGCUCAACCGGGGAACUGCAUCUGAUACUGGAUGGCUUGAGAUUGGGAGAGGGAUGCGGAAUUCCAGGUGUAGCGGUGAAAUGCGUAGAUAUCUGGAGGAACACCGGUGGCGAAGGCGGCAUCCUGGACCAACACUGACGCUGAGGAGCGAAAGCCAGGGGAGCAAACGGG